UACGGGGGGGCAAGCGUUGUCCGGAUUUAUUGGGCGUAAAGAGCGUGUAGGCGGCCAGGUAGGUCUGCUGUGAAAACUCGAGGCUCAACCUCGAGACGUCGGCGGAAACCAUCUGGCUAGAGUCCGGAAGAGGAGAGUGGAAUUCCUGGUGUAGCGGUGAAAUGCGCAGAUAUCAGGAAGAACACCCGUGGCGAAGGCGGCUCUCUGGGACGGUACUGACGCUGAGACGCGAAAGCGUGGGGAGCGAACAGG
Molecule: ribosomal RNA, 252 nt
Filed under: uncultured bacterium
Lineage: Bacteria
Description: partial 16S ribosomal RNA
Rfam family: Bacterial small subunit ribosomal RNA
Source: RNAcentral